This 823-nucleotide long non-coding RNA is filed under the name Salmo salar (Atlantic salmon). RNAcentral describes it as "lncRNA (ENSSSAG00000120979.1)". The record is from RNAcentral. Lineage: Eukaryota; Metazoa; Chordata; Actinopteri; Salmoniformes; Salmonidae.
GCCACAAGAACUUGUAGGGGCCAAGUUGCUUUUAUGUGAACACUACAAGGCUUCCCUCUCAUGGAGAGAAGUUCUAUAGCACUCUUCUUUCUGCAGUUUUCAUCCUCUUGGUCUUCCACUUCAACUUUCCUUUCUGCUGGACUUUUCUGUUCUGUCUCCUGCUUCAUUUUAACUGUGGGACAGUGCAGCCUAUGGGGAAACAAAGGGCUCCUCCCCUUCUAAGGAGACAGUGAGAGGCAAGAGCAAAUCUGUCAGAAAUGGUGUUGGAUGUUAACAAUACAGAGGAAAACCCCUCAGGAAGAAGCUCCAACUGAUGAAAUGCAAGACUCUACUAUGUAUUCAUAACACAAAAUAUCUCCAUAACAACCACACAGGGUUCACGUUAGGUUUAAGGGGGAGGGAGUACAGGUUAUUGAUUUUGGUUGGUAUUCAGAGUUGAGAUCCUCACGUUUAACUCUUACUUUUGUGUAAAUCAUUCAUUGACGUCAAUGGGAGACAUGCACCAUAAUUUGAAUACCAUCUCAAAAUACAUAUUAGUACUAUAUUUAAACCCCUUUAUAUUAUGUGGGAUUUUAGAUUCUUGAUGAAACAGCCUUUGCACAAUCCCUUGUACAUCCUAAUAGAAUCAAUGCUGUGAAAAUGAAAUUUGAUCAACCACAUUUGUAGCAAAUAAAUGUAUGUUUGUAAUGAAAGAUAUUUGUCCAAAUAUCUGUCCAAAUAGCCAUAGCGAAGUGAAAGCUUCCAGUUGCAUAAGGUUGACAUUAUCUGGCAGUCUGAUCAUAUACUACCUACACCAGACGAGGCUGGUGGGAGGAGCUAUAGG